AUUUGGACGCCCACCGCAAGGAACAAAAGUAUCGGCUUUGUAACGAAGAUGAGCGGUGUUACGGAAUAUGGUUCCAUUUCGGACAAUUUCACCGUUCGGAAGCUUUAGAUUAGUGUCUUUAACAAGAACUCUAUACCCUUCGGGGCUAAGUUUGCCAGCAUCAAAAUGAUCAAUCGUCUUACGCUCAUCGGCUAAACGAAGUAAUUCAGUUCGAUCAAGACCAGCGGGAUCGUAGAGGACACCACUGCCAUCUAUAACUGCAAUAUACUUUUCGUUAGAAAGUUUGAUCUCAUUGGAACCAAGAUCACCGUCUGGACCACCCGUUUGAA
Molecule: non-coding RNA, 329 nt
Organism: Schizosaccharomyces pombe (fission yeast)
Lineage: Eukaryota; Fungi; Ascomycota; Schizosaccharomycetes; Schizosaccharomycetales; Schizosaccharomycetaceae
Source: the annotation of a GenBank genome assembly